AAGUCGUAACGAGGUUUCCGUAGGUGAACCUGCGGAAGGAUCAUUGUUUAUGUACGCGGCUUGUUCCGCGGUCGGGGGGCCUCUCCUUCGGGCGGAGGCCCUGUCUGAACCCUCUGUCAUUGUCGCACCUCGCGUUUCCUCGGCGGGCUCGCCCGCCAACGAGGACCCCAAACCAAAACCAUUUGCAGUAUAAGCAGUAAACGUACCACAAACAAAAUUUAAUUAAAA
RNAcentral lists this unclassified non-coding RNA (228 nucleotides) under plant metagenome. Its description in RNAcentral is "partial contains small subunit ribosomal RNA and internal transcribed spacer 1". The stretch from base 1 to 46 matches the Rfam family "Eukaryotic small subunit ribosomal RNA", at positions 1786 to 1831 of the family's 1831-position model. The record is from RNAcentral.